GAUGAAGAACGUAGCGAAAUGCGAUAAGUGGUGUGAAUUGCAGAAUUCAGUGAAUCAUCGAAUCUUUGAACGCACAUUGCGCCCCUUGGUAUCCCGAGGGGCAUGCCUGUUCGAGCGUCAUUUCACCACUCAAGCCUGGCUUGGUGUUGGGCGACGUCCCCUUUAGGGACGCGCCUCGAAACGCUCGGCGGCGUGGCACCGGCUUUAAGCGUAGCAGAAUCUUUCGCUUUGGAAGUCGGGGCCCCGCCUGCCGGAAUACCUACUCGUAAGGUUGACCUCGGAUCAGGCAGGGAUACCCGCUGAACUUAAGCAUAUCAAUAAGCGGAGGA
RNAcentral lists this unclassified non-coding RNA (329 nucleotides) under soil metagenome. Its description in RNAcentral is "partial contains 5.8S ribosomal RNA, internal transcribed spacer 2, and large subunit ribosomal RNA". The stretch from base 1 to 120 matches the Rfam family "5.8S ribosomal RNA", at positions 35 to 154 of the family's 154-position model. The record is from RNAcentral.